CCUACGGGUGGCUGCAGUGAGGAAUAUUGGUCAAUGGGCGCGAGCCUGAACCAGCCAAGUAGCGUGAAGGAUGACUGCCCUACGGGUUGUAAACUUCUUUUAUAAAGGAAUAAAGUGAGGCACGUGUGCCUUUUUGUAUGUACUUUAUGAAUAAGGAUCGGCUAACUCCGUGCCAGCAGCCGCGGUAAUACGGAGGAUGCGAGCGUUCUCCGGAUUUAUUGGGUUUAAAGGGUGCGUAGGUGGUUUUUUAAGGCAGCGGUGAAAGUUUGUGGCUCCACCAUAAAAUUGCCGUUGAAACUGGCAGACUUGAGUGUGUUUGAGGUAGGCGGAAUGCGUGGUGUAGCGG
RNAcentral lists this ribosomal RNA (346 nucleotides) under uncultured bacterium. RNAcentral describes it as "partial 16S ribosomal RNA". It matches the Rfam family "Bacterial small subunit ribosomal RNA", at positions 338 to 681 of the family's 1533-position model. The record is from RNAcentral.